CCGGCGACCGGCGGACGGUGACGUAACGCGUAUACGUAACCUUACCUUGACGAGGGGAUAACAUCGAGAAAUUGGUACUAAUACCCCAUAACAUCACCGGAGGCAUCUUCGGUGGUUGAAAACUCAGGUGGUCAGAGAUGGACAUGCGUUGUAUUAGCUAGUUGGUGAGGUAACGGCUCACCAAGGCGACGAUACAUAGGGGGACUGAGAGGUCAACCCCCCACAUUGGUACUGAGACACGGACCAAACUCCUACGGAAGGCAGCAG
This 267-nucleotide ribosomal RNA is filed under the name uncultured bacterium. Its description in RNAcentral is "partial 16S ribosomal RNA". It matches the Rfam family "Bacterial small subunit ribosomal RNA", at positions 88 to 354 of the family's 1533-position model. The record is from RNAcentral.